AACGCGAAGAACCUUACCUGGGCUUGAACCGCCGGUGACCAGCGGUGGAAACAUCGCCUUCCCGCAAGGGACACCGGUAGAGGUGCUGCAUGGCUGUCGUCAGCUCGUGCCGUGAGGUGUUGGGUUAAGUCCCGCAACGAGCGCAACCCUUGUUUGCUGUUGCCAUCAGGUUAUGCUGGGCACUCUGCAAAGACCGCCGGUGAUAAACCGGAGGAAGGUGGGGAUGACGUCAAGUCAGCAUGGCCUUUAUGUCUGGGGCUACACACGUGCUACAAUGGCCGGUACAAACCGUCGCGAGCCCGCGAGGGGGAGCUAAUCGGAGAAAGCCGGUCUCAGUUCGGAUAGCAGGCUGCAACUCGCCUGCUUGAAGUUGGAAUCGCUAGUAAUCGCGGAUCAGCACGCCGCGGUGAAUACGUUCCCGGGCCUUGUACACACCGCUGUA
Molecule: ribosomal RNA, 442 nt
Filed under: uncultured bacterium
Lineage: Bacteria
Description: bacterial SSU rRNA
Rfam family: Bacterial small subunit ribosomal RNA
Source: RNAcentral